UGGGCUGGCCGGGCGACCGCGUGGACCGGAGUGAUCUGGUCCCCGAGGAAGGUCCGGGCUCCACAGAGCAAGGUGGUGGGUAACACCCACCCGGGGUAACCCGCGGGACAGUGCCACAGAGAACAGACCGCCAGCCGCUCCUCCGGGAGUGGUCGGCAAGGGUGAAACGGUGGAGUAAGAGACCACCAGCGGCCCGGGCGACCGGAUCGGCUCGGCAAACCCCACCUGGAGCAAGAUCAGACAGUGCGCGUUCGAGGGCUGCUCGCCCGAGUGCACGGGUAGAUCGCUGGAGGCUGUCGGCAACGGCAGUCGUAGAUGGAUGGUCGCCGGCUGGCUUGCCAGUCACAGAACCCGGCCUACAGGCCAGCCCGUCCG
Molecule: RNase P RNA, 375 nt
Filed under: Nocardioides psychrotolerans
Lineage: Bacteria; Bacillati; Actinomycetota; Actinomycetes; Propionibacteriales; Nocardioidaceae
Description: Nocardioides sp. CGMCC 1.11156 Bacterial RNase P class A
Rfam family: Bacterial RNase P class A
About the family: Ribonuclease P (RNase P) is a ubiquitous endoribonuclease, found in archaea, bacteria and eukarya as well as chloroplasts and mitochondria. Its best characterised activity is the generation of mature 5'-ends of tRNAs by cleaving the 5'-leader elements of precursor-tRNAs.
Source: Rfam by way of RNAcentral